This 133-nucleotide transfer RNA is filed under the name Candidatus Aenigmatarchaeota archaeon. Its description in RNAcentral is "tRNA-Gln". The record is from RNAcentral. Lineage: Archaea; Nanobdellati; Candidatus Aenigmatarchaeota.
GCGAGAGUAGCCAAGCCUGGUCUAACCCUUUUCGACUCACGCGAAAAGCGUUAACGGAAAGGAUUACAGAAAAAGGCGCAAGUGCUGAUCUUGUCGGUUAGUCCGUUCGGCGGUUCGAAUCCGCCCUCUCGCA